GGUUGAUCCUGCCAGUAGUUAUAUGCUUGUUUCAAAGAUUAAGCCAUGCAAGUCUAAGUAUAGUAUUUCUAUAGCGAAACUGCGAAUAGCUCAUUACAACAGUACUAAUCUACACAAGUUCAUCUAGAUGGAUAUCCAUGGUAAUUCUGUGACUAAUACAUGCUAUUGUCUCGUCGACAGCAUACACGAAUCAGCUGCAGUAGUCUUCGGGCUUUUCUUACGAUAAAAAUGAUAUGCGAAUCGCUCCUCGCGAUGACUUGUGCGAGUUUCUUACCUAUCAGCUUCUGUCGGUA
Molecule: ribosomal RNA, 293 nt
Filed under: uncultured eukaryote
Lineage: Eukaryota
Description: partial 18S ribosomal RNA
Rfam family: Eukaryotic small subunit ribosomal RNA
Source: RNAcentral